Camellia sinensis is the source of this 1906-nucleotide non-coding RNA. The record is from RefSeq and is a predicted model, not a curated record. NCBI's taxonomy places the organism in Eukaryota, Viridiplantae, Streptophyta, Magnoliopsida, Ericales, Theaceae.
UUUCCUCCUCCCCUCAACUCUCUGUGUACUUUGAAUCUUGUAUAAUAUCCUGAUAUAAGAGAUGGAAAAUCCUGAAAAGGAAGAACCAGACAGAAACCAUAGAGAUUUAGUCAUCAGAACUAAAUUUAAAAAAUAAAAUGCUAUUUGCUGUUUAGUGGGCAAAUAUUAGUGCUGGUGUUUCUUAGUGUACCUCUGUAGCUUCUUUGGUUUGUAAAGUGGAUUUGGGCUGGUUACGUGUCCUUCAACUUAGCCACACAUACGACAGUAGAAAAGACACGAAGCUUCACUUCCAAUACCAUUCUUCCUAGAAAUUUCCCAAAACAAUGAUCUGAUGUUUGCCUAUUUCCCAAAGCUCCUCCCUGCAAAAUUUUCUUGCAGAUUUUGGGUUACCUACGUGGAAUUCAAAUUAUCCACACCGACAAUGAAGAAGAAAACAAAUUUUAUCCCUUCGAACAGAAGGGGAUUUUGUUUUCCAUGCCAUGUGUUCGUAUAGCAUGAUUUCUCACAAGAUAUAUAUAUAUGUUCUGGAUGGGCUUACUGUUACCCUGUUCUUCCCACCACUGUCGGCAUUGGUGCUGCAAGAAAAUUGAUCCCGUGUGCUGGAAAAGAAAUCUGCAGAGUGUGCCGAAUUAGUAUCCAAUUGAUGACUUCCAUGUCAUUUGGCUACAGAGCUUUCUGUGGCAAUAUCCAGCAGCAAAAUGAACAACACUGUGAAUAGGAAAUAGAGGAAAUUAAGAGGGGAAUCAAGUCUGGUAACAUUACACCAGAUGCUUCAAAUAUCAGAUUCUCAGAUAAGGUACUUGAUGAGCAAAAGUAUGCCAUCAAGAUUUCUGAUGAGAAGGUGGCUUUGGCUGUUCCAGCAUAUGAGUUGGUAGAUGCUCAAGUUCAACAACUUGAUCAAUAUCUGAAAAAAUUUGAUGAAGAGCUUCAAUGUGAAAGAGAAAGUGCUGCUACAACUGGGUCAGCUGCUCAAAAUCUCAAAAAUAAUGUUAAAGCUACCAGUGGCAGAGGAAGGUGUAAGACGUAUUGCUAAAGGAGACUAUGGGCUUUGACCCUUUGAUAUCAAUUUUGAAGCUUAGAGGAAGUAGCUACAGUUUCACCCAACAGAAGACGAUAAACCUUCUCAGUGCUUUAGAGACCGUCGGUUUGCUAAUAAUGGGAGGUCCAGAAAUUGACACUGGAAAGAUGUCAAUAGGCUGACCAAUAAAGUAGUCUUGGUUCAGGUUUGUUUCAAAAUAAGUUAUCUGCUAUAAUGAAUACCUUUAUAAUUUUGUAAGAUUUCUCUCACUAGUCUAUGUAUAUUAUUGGUUGUAGAAAAAAGUUUUUGACCAUCUUUUAAUGCUACGAGUAGAAAGCCAAUGGGCUCCUGUUCCUGUGCGAUGUAUGGUACGAUAACAUUCUUUUUCUUCUUGUGGGUGUGUGUGUUUUAAAGAAUACCCUUACAACGAGAUAUCAUAAGGAACACCCUCUUGGAUGCUAGGUUACUUAAAUUACUUGUACGUUUUAUUGGUGAUGCAGAUUGUGCAAUCUGAGUUGUGUCACUCGUUUCAAAGAAUGUUAAAAGCUGGUGAUUAUUACAUCUCCAUUUCUUGUUCUAUAAUGUUCUAUAAUAUUUAAUGGAAAGCGAGAAUAUAAUUGAUAGACCAUUAGUAAAUACAAAGUCCCUUCUGAAGAUGUGUUUCACCAAAUACUCUUUUUCCUGGUUGAGGGAAAACAAACAUGGACUUGGAUAUAGCUUGUGCCAUUCCAAUAGAGUAUUGCAAGUGAGUCUAUCCUGUUAAAUGACACUGUGUAAAGCUGUAAAGUAAAUGGUACAUCUAUGAAAUACCCAUCCUGUAUGGCAAUGAUUGAUGUUCCUAGGAAUUUUGCUUUGAUAAAUAGGUAAAAAAAUGAGAGUCUUCUCUUA